RNAcentral lists this transfer RNA (74 nucleotides) under Verticillium alfalfae VaMs.102. RNAcentral's name for it is "tRNA-Val (TAC) (tRNA-Val-TAC-1-1)". It matches the Rfam family "tRNA". Rfam says of the family: Transfer RNA (tRNA) molecules are approximately 80 nucleotides in length. Their secondary structure includes four short double-helical elements and three loops (D, anti-codon, and T loops). Further hydrogen bonds mediate the characteristic L-shaped molecular structure. tRNAs have two regions of fundamental functional importance: the anti-codon, which is responsible for specific mRNA codon recognition, and the 3' end, to which the tRNAs corresponding amino acid is attached (by aminoacyl-tRNA synthetases). tRNAs cope with the degeneracy of the genetic code in two manners: having more than one tRNA (with a specific anti-codon) for a particular amino acid; and 'wobble' base-pairing, i.e. permitting non-standard base-pairing at the 3rd anti-codon position. Lineage: Eukaryota; Fungi; Ascomycota; Sordariomycetes; Glomerellales; Plectosphaerellaceae. The record is from RNAcentral.
GUCUGUGUAGUGUAGUGGUUUAUCACGUUUGUCUUACACACAAAAGGCCCCAGGUUCGAGCCCUGGCAUAGACA